RNAcentral lists this ribosomal RNA (253 nucleotides) under uncultured bacterium. RNAcentral describes it as "partial 16S ribosomal RNA". It matches the Rfam family "Bacterial small subunit ribosomal RNA", at positions 524 to 776 of the family's 1533-position model. The record is from RNAcentral.
UACGUAGGGGGCGAGCGUUAAUCGGAAUUACUGGGCGUAAAGCGUGCGCAGGCGGUUUUGUAAGCCAGAUGGGAAAUCCCCGAGCUUAACUUGGGAACUGCAUUUGGGACUGCAAGGCUAGAGUACGGCAGAGGGGGGUAGAAUUCCUGGUGUAGCAGUGAAAUGCGUAGAUAUCAGGAGGAAUACCGAUGGCGAAGGCAGCCCCCUGGGUCGAUACUGACGCUGAGGAGCGAAAGCGUGGGGAGCGAACAGG